UACGAAGGGGGCUAGCGUUGCUCGGAAUUACUGGGCGUAAAGGGCGCGUAGGCGGAUAUCUAAGUUGGGGGUGAAAUCCCGGGGCUCAACCUCGGAAUUGCCUUCAAAACUGGAUAUCUUGAGUUCGGGAGAGGUGAGUGGAACUCCGAGUGUAGAGGUGAAAUUCGUAGAUAUUAGGAAGAACACCAGUGGCGAAGGCGGCUCACUGGUCCGGAACUGACGCUGAGGUGCGAAAGCGUGGGGAGCAAACAGG
This 253-nucleotide ribosomal RNA is filed under the name uncultured bacterium. RNAcentral's name for it is "partial 16S ribosomal RNA". It matches the Rfam family "Bacterial small subunit ribosomal RNA", at positions 524 to 776 of the family's 1533-position model. The record is from RNAcentral.